UCUCUCUCUCUCUCUCUCUCUCUCUCUCUCUCUCUCUCUAAGAUUUGUUGCAGGCGAUUGAAGCUCUGCCGGUGAUAGAAAUCGUCAUCAACAACUCCGAAGGUGAUGAAAACGGCAGCAAUGGUGAUUUUUUCUUCUUGCAAUUCAGAUCUGUUCAAAACAACGGCGACUCUGCCGAAUUUGAUGAGAAAUUCUGGGUGUUUACUUUGAUUUAGGUUUUUUUUAUGUUUUGGAUGAUUUUCGAUGUAAGAUUUUUAAGAAAGUUAUAUAAUUUAGGGUUCUUAUUGUUCUUAUUCUUUUUUCGGAGUAUUUUUAGUGUUUUGAUUUAUUUCAUCUCCAGAUCUGGAUUCAAUAUAACUUGAUGUUACUCA
Molecule: long non-coding RNA, 371 nt
Filed under: Brassica napus (rape)
Lineage: Eukaryota; Viridiplantae; Streptophyta; Magnoliopsida; Brassicales; Brassicaceae
Description: long non-coding RNA (BNAP_LNC024879)
Source: RNAcentral